This 224-nucleotide non-coding RNA is filed under the name Loktanella atrilutea. The record is from RNAcentral. Lineage: Bacteria; Pseudomonadati; Pseudomonadota; Alphaproteobacteria; Rhodobacterales; Roseobacteraceae.
GGUCUAGUGAUGCUGCUUGGUGUUCCAUACGCACAAAGUGCAGGAACCGAACAGGGAAUCUGGUCAGGAUCGAUCCGGUAUGGAGAUCCGAUGCCAGAGCCGCCCCCGCGACUGUAAGCGGUGAGCGACUGCCGAUUUGUCCACUCACAUCCCAUGAUGUGGGGAAGGCCUGCAGAUCGUCACGACCCGCGAGCCAGGAGACCUGCCAGGCACAAUGCAAACCG